UUCUGUGGUACAAGCAGAGCAAAUUGAUCAGCAAGUGUUUUAUUUUCUCUUCAUUACAACACAGAUUGGAAAACACUCUCUGACAGAAGAAAGCAAAAAAUACAGACUGGUGGGGGAAAGGAUGAUUAGGGUCCAAUCAUAACAAAAGUCUCAAGUCAAGUGGAUAUCCUUACUGGAAAAAAAAAAUGGAAUGGUAACUCAGAUGAACAACUUUUCCACUGACCUUCCUUCACUUUACCUCUCUUUUGAUGGCUGCUCAACAGAGGGGAUUAUAAAGUAAUACAGCAAUUUCUUUAUGCUGAGUUAAGUCUCAGAAUGGAUUGCUAUCGACUUUUCCUUUACUUCAUAUGAUUCAAGUGAAGAAAUUGCCUCACUGAAGAGGGGGGAAAAAAAGGCAAAAAAACCCCCAACUUAAAACAACAAAAGUGAAAUGAAGCAGAGUGAAAAGAAAGUGGCUUGCAGCUUUUUCAGGCCUGAGAUAAUGCAUAUGAUAAGAACUCCAGCACCAUGGAUGGGCCAGAUAAGAAAGCUGUAGAAGGAGCAAUGUUGGUGGAGUGCCAUCCUCCAUUUGGCAUGCUGUUUCUGGCUCUGAGUAACUUGAGAAACUCAGAGCCAUUUCUGUCUCUGACUAAGCUGGUCUAGUGGAAGGUUCCCUGCCCACGGCAGAGGGUUUGGAACUAGAUGAUAUUUAAGGUCCCUUCAAACCCAAACCAUUCAUGAUCGUAUGAAAACCGUGAGCAAAGCUUAUCACCAAGCUGGUUUUUUGUUGCUUGCAAAGAACUUGUAGAUUUGGUCUUUCACAUCAUAUCUUUUGUAAGUAGUAAGUUUAUGUGGCACCCACACAUUUAGUCUGAUUAUAUUAGUUUUCUCUUUUUCUUAUUUAAGAGUAACAACUGAAGAACCCCCUAAUAUCAAAGAUUUUUUGAUUUUGGUUUAAGCUGGAUGCAGAAGCAUCCCUAGUCUGAGACCAGAAAAGAGUCAAAUGUCUUCUCAACAUGAAUAGACAACCACAUAGCUGUCUACAUACACAAGUGUUCCCAUCUGCAACCUCACUGCUCUGUGCCAGGAGGAACAAAGAAUACCAACUGACCACACUUUGCACGGCCUGCUUCAAAGUUCUACUCUGAGGAAAAUAAAGCAGGUACUUCAGCCCACACAGCCUGCAUCAACCUCUACCAAUGCAGAAUAAAAAUGAGGAAUUUGUGGACUCUUUUCUUGAAAAGCUAUUUAACGUUAAAUACCUAAGCUUACCUUGGAGACCAGAUACCAUUCUCCCCUUUGCUAAUGCACACCCUACUCUGAGCUGUGGUCAUCUUUCCUCUUGCUUUUUCUCCCUACAGGCCUGUGAAAUUUGUAGAGCUACUCAACUUUUGAAGAUGAAUAGGAUGUUACUUCCUCAUUCUGUCCCAGCUUGAGGUCAUUCCAAGUUUCACAGGGUACCUAACUCAAGUGUGUGAAUGGUACCAAAGUUUAGAAGAUAAGGAACAUUUCAGAUUCAAUUGUCACCUGUUUCCUACUGUGUGGUUUCAUUGACCCUCUCGCUACUGGAUAUUUGAGCACUUAUAGCUGCCCCAGGCUCCCUGGUCAGCACACAGGAAACUCAGUAGAGUGAACUGCAUUCCUAGAGUUGGCUAACUAAAAGCUGGCUAUUUAGCAAGAUACAAUUCAGGUCCUUUCUGGUUUGAGUAUUCAGAAAAGAGGAGGCUAUAAACCAUCUUUAGAUAUUUAUUGUAUAUGUAGUCAGUAGUUCACACUGGUGGGGUUAUUAAUGUUCCUAAAAUAGCCUUUCACUAUUAUUGAUAGGAGAAUAGAAGAGUCCCUCCAGGGCCUUUUGGCAGCAAGCCGGAUGGCAAUGACUUGCUUAGGGUUGUAAAUUUCUUAAAUGAAGGUGGCAAACAAAAAUUUUUACCAGCAAAUACAGCUUUUUUUCCAGGCAGCGUUUAGAGUUAAAAAUAAAACUAUAUGAUGCAUACUGCAAUUUAGGUAGCAGGUGCUUUUCACUGCCUAAUUUGAAAUGGAUUAUCCAUAACUAGAUGUAUGCCUAGUGCUUUCCAAUGAGAAUCAUAGAAUCAUGGAAUAUUAAAGAGUUGGA
Long non-coding RNA from Pipra filicauda (Wire-tailed manakin), 2092 nucleotides. RefSeq lists it as uncharacterized. NCBI's taxonomy places the organism in Eukaryota, Metazoa, Chordata, Aves, Passeriformes, Pipridae. The record is from RefSeq and is a predicted model, not a curated record. The transcript has 4 exons.